Molecule: ribosomal RNA, 773 nt
Filed under: uncultured bacterium
Lineage: Bacteria
Description: bacterial SSU rRNA
Rfam family: Bacterial small subunit ribosomal RNA
Source: RNAcentral
GAGACCGCGGAGGAUACGGUUACACUUGAGGCCGGAAGAGGCGAGCGGAAUUGCUGGUGUAGGGGUUAAAUCCAUUAAUAUCAGCAAGAACACCAAAUGCGAAAGCAGCUCGCUGGGACGUGCCUGACACUCAGAGACGAAAGCGUGGGGAGCGAAGGGGAUUAGAUACCCCCGUAGUCCACGCCGUAAACGAUGGAUGCUUAGCAUUGGCAGUUUCGACCCUGUCAGUGCUGUUUACCUAAGCUAACGCGUUAAGCAUCCCGCCUGGGGAGUACGGCCGCAAGGCUAAAACUCAAAGGAAUAGACGGGGACCCGCACAAGUGGUGGAGCAUGUGGUUUAAUUCGACAAUAAGCGAGGAACCUCACCAGGGCUUGACAUCUAGCUGCAUACCCCAGAGAUGGGGAGUCCUUCGAGGGUGCUAGACAGGUGCUGCAUGGUCGUCGUCAGCUCGUGUCGUGAGAUGUACCGUUAAGUCGGGAAACGAGCGCAACCCCUAUUCUGUGUUUCAUGUGUCACAGAAGACUGCCCGCAUUAAGUGGGAGGAAGGUGGGGACGACGUCAGAUCAGCAUGGUUCUUACGUCCUGGGCGACACACGUGCUACAAUGGGGGGUACAAUGGGAAGCCAAGCCGCGAGGUGGAGCAAAUCCCAAAAAACCUCUCUCAGUUCGGAUCGGAGUCUGCAACUCGACUCCGUGAAGCCGGAAUCACUAGUAAACGCGCAUCAGCCAUGGCGCGUUGAAUACGUUCUCGGGUCUUGUACUCACCGCCCGU